UAGGGAAUUUUCCACAAUGGACGAAAGUCUGAUGGAGCAACGCCGCGUGAACGAUGAAGGUCUUCGGAUUGUAAAGUUCUGUUGUUAGGGACGAAACCGUACCGUUCGAAUAGGGCGGUACCUUGACGGUACCUAAUUAGAAAGCCACGGCUAACUACGUGCCAGCAGCCGCGGUAAUACGUAGGUGGCAAGCGUUGUCCGGAAUUAUUGGGCGUAAAGCGCGCGCAGGCGGUUAUGUAAGUCUGAUGUUAAAGGCCGAGGCUCAACCUCGGUUCGCAUUGGAAACUGUGUAACUUGAGUGCAGAAGAGGAAAGUGGUAUUCCACGUGUAGCGGUGAAAUGCGUAGAGAUGUGGAGGAACACCAGUGGCGAAGGCGACUUUCUGGUCUGUAACUGACGCUGAGGCGCGAAAGCGUGGGGAGCAAACAGGAUUAGAUACCCCGGUAGUCC
Molecule: ribosomal RNA, 449 nt
Filed under: uncultured bacterium
Lineage: Bacteria
Description: bacterial SSU rRNA
Rfam family: Bacterial small subunit ribosomal RNA
Source: RNAcentral